This is a non-coding RNA of Paramuricea clavata, 469 nucleotides long. The record is from the annotation of a GenBank genome assembly. Lineage: Eukaryota; Metazoa; Cnidaria; Anthozoa; Malacalcyonacea; Plexauridae.
GUUUGAAUGGAAUUUGUAUUUCGUGACUGCAUGAUUAUUUGUUAUGAUCAAAAUGACAUUGUGAAAUUAGUAUGUUAAAUUCUCUUUCCCCUGUUUACAGUUCUGGUAGAUGUGUAUUAUGCUUGAUCUUAAUAUCUAAUUUGCUAUUAUAUAAGUGAUGAAAUAUAUAUUUCAAUUGUUCAUUGGUGUCACAGAUGUACAUCUGUCUAAACUACAACAGCUACAAAAUACAGAAGCACGUCUUAUCUGUUCUAUCCCUAAACAUGAUCACAUCACUCUGACUCUCAUCAAAUUACACUUAAGGAUCAAGUUCAAAAUUGCUAUGCUUGCUUUUAAAUGUAGCCAUCAGUAUGCACCUCUCUGUCUUGUCAAUCUUUUAAAAGUAAGAAAUACAUCAUGCUAUAGUCUAAGAUCUAACAAAAGCACAUUGCUUGAAGACUAUAGUACAAAAACAAAGAAAACACUUGGC